This is a long non-coding RNA of Balaenoptera musculus (blue whale), 369 nucleotides long. RefSeq lists it as uncharacterized. The record is from RefSeq and is a predicted model, not a curated record. The transcript is spliced from 3 exons. Lineage: Eukaryota; Metazoa; Chordata; Mammalia; Artiodactyla; Balaenopteridae.
GCUGAUUCUCCUGAAAUAAGUCCUAGGGCAGGAAGAGCUGGAGCUGGGCAGAGACUGCUUCAUGGCAACCUUCCAGGGAGACGGUCAGCACAGUGAUAAUGGAUUGUAAGGCCUACUUGAGUCCAGGGAAUAUUGACCAAAAGCAUUCAACGAAGAAUAUAUUCACUAAAAGCAGAGGAGUGUACUGAGGGUAAUUAUCAAGCCUUGUGUUGCAAUGGUAACAUCACAAAGAAACCUGAGUCCUCAAGCUCAUUUCUGGAGAAACCUCCACCAACCAGCACUGAACACUGAUGGAGCGAGAGAUCUACUGUUGCUGUGCUAAGCCAUGAGAUUGGGGGAUUUGUCUGUUGAGGCAACUGACAUUAAUGA